GAUGAACGCUGGCGGCGUGCCUAAUACAUGCAAGUAGAACGCUGAAGGAGGAGCUUGCUCUUCUGGAUGAGUUGCGAACGGGUGAGUAACGCGUAGGUAACCUGCCUGGUAGCGGGGGAUAACUAUUGGAAACGAUAGCUAAUACCGCAUGACAACAGUUAUUGCAUGAUAACUGUUUAAAAGGGGCAACUGCUCCACUACCAGAUGGACCUGCGUUGUAUUAGCUAGUUGGUGAGGUAACGGCUCACCAAGGCGACGAUACAUAGCCGACCUGAGAGGGUGAUCGGCCACACUGGGACUGAGACACGGCCCAGACUCCUACGGGAGGCAGCAGUAGGGAAUCUUCGGCAAUGGACGGAAGUCUGACCGAGCAACGCCGCGUGAGUGAAGAAGGUUUUCGGAUCGUAAAGCUCUGUUGUAAGAGAAGAACGAGUGUGAGAGUGGAAAGUGCACACUGUGACGGUAUCUUACCAGAAAGGGACGGCUAACUACGU
This 494-nucleotide ribosomal RNA is filed under the name uncultured bacterium. RNAcentral describes it as "partial 16S ribosomal RNA". It matches the Rfam family "Bacterial small subunit ribosomal RNA", at positions 28 to 506 of the family's 1533-position model. The record is from RNAcentral.